GGAUACACUUAGUGGCGGACGGGUGAGUAACGCGUGGGUACCUGCCUCACACUGGGGGAUAACAGUUAGAAAUAGCUGCUAAUACCGCAUAAGUCCGCAUGGAAAAAACUCCGGUGGUGUGAGAUGGACCCGCGUCUGAUUAGCCAGUUGGCGGGGUAACGGCCCACCAAAGCGACGAUCAGUAGCCGGCCUGAGAGGGUGAACGGCCACAUUGGGACUGAGACACGGCCCAAACUCCUACGGGAGGCAGCAGUGGGGAAUAUUGCACAAUGGGGGAAACCCUGAUGCAGCGACGCCGCGUGAGUGAAGAAGUAUUUCGGUAUGUAAAGCUCUAUCAGCAGGGAAGAUAUGACGGUACCUGACUAAGAAGCCCCGGCUAACUACGUGCCAGCAGCCGCGGUAAUACGUAGGGGGCAAGCGUUAUCCGGAUUUACUGGGUGUAAAGGGAGCGUAGACGGCAUGGCAAGUCUGAAGUGAAAGCCCGGGGCUCAACCCCGGGACUGCUUUGGAAACUGUCAAGCUAGAGUGCAGGAGAGGUAAGUGGAAUUCCUAGUGUAGCGGUGAAAUGCGUAGAUAUUAGGAGGAACACCAGUGGCGAAGGCGGCUUACUGGACUGUAACUGACGUUG
This 628-nucleotide ribosomal RNA is filed under the name uncultured bacterium. RNAcentral's name for it is "bacterial SSU rRNA". It matches the Rfam family "Bacterial small subunit ribosomal RNA", at positions 84 to 748 of the family's 1533-position model. The record is from RNAcentral.